Molecule: ribosomal RNA, 1345 nt
Filed under: metagenome
Description: bacterial LSU rRNA
Rfam family: Bacterial large subunit ribosomal RNA
Source: RNAcentral
UGAGUGCGAGCUGCUACGGCAGCGAAGUUGGUGAUGUCAUGCUUCCAAGAAAAGCCCUAUACCCGUUAAGGCAUCAUGGCCUGUACCCGAAACCGACACAGGUGGGGUGGUAGAGAAUACCGAGGGGCGCGAGGUAACUCUCUCUAAGGAACUCGGCAAAAUGGCCCCGUAACUUCGGGAGAAGGGGUGCCACCGCAAGGUGGUCGCAGUGAAGAGGCCCAGGCGACUGUUUACCAAAAACACAGGUCUCCGCUAAGUCGCAAGACGAUGUAUGGGGGCUGACGCCUGCCCAGUGCCGGAAGGUUAAGGAAGCUGGUCAGCGCAAGCGAAGCUAGCGACUGAAGCCCCGGUGAACGGCGGCCGUAACUAUAACGGUCCUAAGGUAGCGAAAUUCCUUGUCGGGUAAGUUCCGACCCGCACGAAAGGCGUAACGAUCUGGGCGCUGUCUCGGAGAGAGGCUCGGCGAAAUAGAAUUGUCUGUGAAGAUGCGGACUACGUGCACCCGGACAGAAAGACCCUAUGAAGCUUUACUGUAGCUUGGUAUUGUGCCCGGGCUCGCAAUGCGCAGGAUAGGUGGGAGGCUUUGAUCAUCGGCUUGCGGGUCGAUGUGAGCCAACGGUGAGAUACCACUCUUUGCGAGCUAGGGUUCUAACGGCCACCCGUCAUCCGGGGGCCGGACAGUACCUGGUGGGCAGUUUGACUGGGGCGGUCGCCUCCUAAAAGGUAACGGAGGCGCGCAAAGGUUUGCUCAGGCUGGUUGGAAAUCAGCCGACGAGUGUAAAAGCAGAAGCAAGCUUGACUGUGAGACCAACAAGUCGAACAGGGAGGAAACUCGGCUUUAGUGAUCCGACGGUUCUGAGUGGAAGGGCCGUCGCUCAACGGAUAAAAGUUACUCUAGGAUAACAGGCUGAUCUCCCCCAAGAGUUCACAUCGACGGGGAGGUUUGGCACCUCGAUGUCGGCUCAUCGCAACCUGGGGCUGAAGUCGGUCCCAAGGGUUGGGCUGUUCGCCCAUUAAAGCGGUACGCGAGCUGGGUUCAGAACGUCGUGAGACAGUUCGGUCCAUAUCCGGUGCACGCGCAGGAAUAUUGAGAGGAUUUCUCCCUAGUACGAGAGGACCGGGAGGAACGCACCUCUGGUGUACCAGUUAUCGUGCCAACGGUAAACGCUGGGUAGCCAUGUGCGGAGUGGAUAACCGCUGAAAGCAUCUAAGUGGGAAGCCCACCUCAAGAUGAGUAUUCCCAUGGCGUAAGCCAGUAAGGUCACGGGAAGAACACCCGUUGAUAGGCUCUAUGUGGAAGCGCAGUAAUGCGUGAAGCAGAGGAGUACUAAUAGACCGAGGGCUU